UGCUAAGUGUUAGGGGGUUUCCGCCCCUUAGUGCUGCAGCUAACGCAUUAAGCACUCCGCCUGGGGAGUACGGUCGCAAGACUGAAACUCAAAGGAAUUGACGGGGGCCGCACAAGCGGUGGAGCAUGUGGUUUAAUUCGAAGCAACGCGAAGAACCUUACCAGGUCUUGACAUCCUCUGACAAUCCUAGAGAUAGGACGUCCUUCGGGGGCAGAGUGACAGGUGGUGCAUGGUUGUCGUCAGCUCGUGUCGUGAGAUGUU
Molecule: ribosomal RNA, 261 nt
Filed under: Paenibacillus lentimorbus
Lineage: Bacteria; Bacillati; Bacillota; Bacilli; Caryophanales; Paenibacillaceae
Description: partial 16S ribosomal RNA
Rfam family: Bacterial small subunit ribosomal RNA
Source: RNAcentral